RNAcentral lists this ribosomal RNA (567 nucleotides) under uncultured bacterium. RNAcentral's name for it is "bacterial SSU rRNA". It matches the Rfam family "Bacterial small subunit ribosomal RNA", at positions 355 to 914 of the family's 1533-position model. The record is from RNAcentral.
UGGGGAAUAUUGGACAAUGGGCGCAAGCCUGAUCCAGCCAUACCGCGUGGGUGAAGAAGGCCUUCGGGUUGUAAAGCCCUUUUGUUGGGAAAGAAAUCCAGCUGGCUAAUACCCGGUUGGGAUGACGGUACCCAAAGAAUAAGCACCGGCUAACUUCGUGCCAGCAGCCGCGGUAAUACGAAGGGUGCAAGCGUUACUCGGAAUUACUGGGCGUAAAGCGUGCGUAGGUGGUCGUUUAAGUCCGUUGUGAAAGCCCUGGGCUCAACCUGGGAACUGCAGUGGAUACUGGGCGACUAGAGUGUGGUAGAGGGUAGCGGAAUUCCUGGUGUAGCAGUGAAAUGCGUAGAGAUCAGGAGGAACAUCCAUGGCGAAGGCAGCUACCUGGACCAACACUGACACUGAGGCACGAAAGCGUGGGGAGCAAACAGGAUUAGAUACCCUGGUAGUCCACGCCCUAAACGAUGCGAACUGGAUGUUGGGUGCAAUUUGGCACGCAGUAUCGAAGCUAACGCGUUAAGUUCGCCGCCUGGGAGUACGGUCGCAAGACUGAAACUCAAAGGAAUUGAC